ACACAAAUUUCGGCCAAAAAUGGAGGCAAACACCCAAAUCACAGUAAAAUCAGAAAUCGCUAAUGACCCGAGGAUUGAGCAUUCAUUACACGAGAAUAACAAAAUCAAAGAAAGCCAAUCUUCAAAUUUAAACAAGAACUCAAUUUCUUAAUCAUUUUUUUCUAGAUAGCAUAAUACAAAGGAGUUUCAAACUAACCUGGUUGAACAAAGAAAAAGCUCGAUUAAACCGACUAAAGGUAAGAGUGAAUUCGAACGGAGCUCAGCAACCUCAGAAACAGCGAAAAUCAGCAGCUAAUCAACAGCGGUCCCAAAUCGGAGGAAGAAAAAUUCGACCCAGGCGGAUCAAUCCGAAAUUAGCAGCCACAACUUCGAUUUUAAAUUGUUCGAGUCCAAACAAUGAAGCAAUCUACCAAAAUUCUACUGUUCUUCCAUUUUUGACAUUUUUCGCUGACUUCUAUGGAAAUGGGGGUUCAGCCACCCAUGGUCCAUGCCAUUAUUAAAAAAAAAAGAAAGGGGUGAUGAGAAGAGAUCGACAGCUACGCUCUUAGGAGUGAAGGAGAUGGACAAACUGCUAAUGGAUUUUUUUUGUACGUUUUGGGGGUGUUCUCUAAGAUUUUUCUCUGACCCCGAAAAAGAAAAAAAAAGGGUCUCCUCUGGUUCUUGUGAAGAAGAAGACGUGGGCGGGGGGCGGGGGGGGCGUUGUUCUCUUCAGCACUAUUGU
RNAcentral lists this long non-coding RNA (721 nucleotides) under Nicotiana benthamiana. RNAcentral's name for it is "long non-coding RNA (NBEN_LNC023627)". The record is from RNAcentral. Lineage: Eukaryota; Viridiplantae; Streptophyta; Magnoliopsida; Solanales; Solanaceae.